UUAAAUUGAAGAGUUUGAUCAUGGCUCAGAUUGAACGCUGGCGGCAGGCCUAACACAUGCAAGUCGAGCGGAAACGAGUUGUCUGA
This 86-nucleotide ribosomal RNA is filed under the name Vibrio parahaemolyticus. RNAcentral's name for it is "partial 16S ribosomal RNA". It matches the Rfam family "Bacterial small subunit ribosomal RNA", at positions 1 to 84 of the family's 1533-position model. The record is from RNAcentral. Lineage: Bacteria; Pseudomonadati; Pseudomonadota; Gammaproteobacteria; Vibrionales; Vibrionaceae.